UACGGAGGGUGCAAGCAUUAAUCGGAUUUACUGGGCGUAAAGGGCGCGUAGGCGGGAAGGAAAGUCAAAUGUGAAAUUCCGGUGCUCAACAUCGGAACUGCAUUUGAAACUCCCUUUCUUGAGGGUAGACGGAGAAAGCGGAAUUCCAGGUGUAGUGGUGAAAUGCGUAGAUAUCUGGAAGAAUACCAGUUGCGAAGGCGGCUUCUUGGUCCGUUUCUGACACUAAGGCGCGAAAGCGUGGGUAGCAAAC
Molecule: ribosomal RNA, 250 nt
Filed under: uncultured bacterium
Lineage: Bacteria
Description: partial 16S ribosomal RNA
Rfam family: Bacterial small subunit ribosomal RNA
Source: RNAcentral